UGGGGAAUAUUGCACAAUGGGCGCAAGCCUGAUGCAGCCAUGCCGCGUGUAUGAAGAAGGCCUUCGGGUUGUAAAGUACUUUCAGUCGGGAGGAAGGUGGUAAGGUUAAUAACCUUAUCAAUUGACGUUACCGACAGAAGAAGCACCGGCUAACUCCGUGCCAGCAGCCGCGGUAAUACGGAGGGUGCAAGCGUUAAUCGGAAUUACUGGGCGUAAAGCGCACGCAGGCGGUUGAUUGAGUCAGAUGUGAAAUCCCCGGGCUUAACCCGGGAAUUGCAUCUGAUACUGGUCAGCUAGAGUCUUGUAGAGGGGGGUAGAAUUCCAUGUGUAGCGGUGAAAUGCGUAGAGAUGUGGAGGAAUACCGGUGGCGAAGGCGGCCCCCUGCACAAAGACUGACGCUCAGGUGCGAAAGCGUGGGGAGCAAACAGG
This 429-nucleotide ribosomal RNA is filed under the name Chloroflexota bacterium. RNAcentral describes it as "Chloroflexi bacterium partial 16S ribosomal RNA". It matches the Rfam family "Bacterial small subunit ribosomal RNA", at positions 355 to 776 of the family's 1533-position model. The record is from RNAcentral. Lineage: Bacteria; Bacillati; Chloroflexota.